AACGAACGCUGGCGGCAUGCCUAACACAUGCAAGUCGAACGAGACCUUCGGGUAUCGUGGCGCACGGCUGCGUAACGCGUGGGAACCUGCCCUUAGGUUCGGAAUAACUCCCCGAAAGGGGUUCUAAUACCGGAUAAUGUCCUCGGACCAAAGAUUUAUCGCCUUUGGAUGGGCCAGCGUUUGAUUCGCUUGUGGGUGGGGUAAAGGCCUACCAAGGUGACGAUCCAUAGCUGGUCUGAGAGGAUGAUCAGCCACACUGGAACUGAGACACGGCCCAGACACCUAGGGGAGGCACCAGGCGGGAAUACUGCAGAAUGGGAGCAGGGGUGAUUAAGGCAUACGGCGUGAAUGCAGAAGGCCGUCGGGCUGUAAAGUACUUUAAGCGGUGAGGAUGGGAAUACCGUUUAUACCGGUGCUAAUUGACGUUACCCGGAGAAAAAGCCCCGGCUAACUCCGUG
This 458-nucleotide ribosomal RNA is filed under the name uncultured bacterium. Its description in RNAcentral is "partial 16S ribosomal RNA". It matches the Rfam family "Bacterial small subunit ribosomal RNA", at positions 29 to 507 of the family's 1533-position model. The record is from RNAcentral.